ACCCGCUGAACUUAAGCAUAUCAAUAAGCGGAGGAAAAGAAACCAACAGGGAUUGCCUCAGUAACGGCGAGUGAAGCGGCAAGAGCUCAAAUUUAAAAGCCGACGUAGCUUUAAGAGACGUCCGCAUUGUAAUUUGAAGAGGCAUUCUCGGGUCGGGGCUCAGGCCUAAGUUCCUUGGAAGAGGGCGUCGUGGAGGGUGAGAACCCCGUUCGCGGCCUGCUGUCGACCUUUCCCCGAUCCACACGAGGUGCCAUCGAAGAGUCGAGUUGUUUGGGAAUGCAGCUCAAAGCGGGUGGUAAAUUCCAUCUAAAGCUAAAUAUUGACGGGAGACCGAUAGCGAACAAGUAGAGUGAUCGAAAGAUGAAAAGAACUUUGAAAAGAGAGUGAAAAGUACCUGAAAUCGUCCAGUGGCAAGGGUAUAGGAAACCUGUUAGCCGGCCUUCUAGGUCGGUGUCGAUCGGACAGGUUGGCCUUUCCCGGUGGUCCGCCGAGCAUUCCGGUUUUACCGGCGUGUCAGCGAGGCCGAUACGGUGAAUGGGCCGACUGGUCUAUGCCACUCUUCGCUCGGGUGUCGCAGUGUGUGGCUGGUGUGCGGGAGCAUCUGUCUCUUCGGAGGUGGUUCUCACGUGUGCUAGCUUUGCGCCACGAUGCCCGAAGCUCGGUAUGGCUUCCGAUUAGUAAAUGAUCUU
RNAcentral lists this ribosomal RNA (689 nucleotides) under uncultured fungus. Its description in RNAcentral is "eukaryotic LSU rRNA". It matches the Rfam family "Eukaryotic large subunit ribosomal RNA", at positions 23 to 592 of the family's 3401-position model. The record is from RNAcentral. Lineage: Eukaryota; Fungi.